This 497-nucleotide ribosomal RNA is filed under the name uncultured bacterium. RNAcentral's name for it is "bacterial SSU rRNA". It matches the Rfam family "Bacterial small subunit ribosomal RNA", at positions 29 to 518 of the family's 1533-position model. The record is from RNAcentral.
AUGAACGCUAGCGACAGGCUUAACACAUGCAAGUCGAGGGGUAACAGGGUAGCAAUACCGCUGACGACCGGCGCACGGGUGAGUAACGCGUAUGCAACCUGCCUAUAACUGGGGAAUAGCUCCCUGAAAGGGGGAAUUAACACCGCAUAACACUAUUGAUUCGCAUGGAUUAGUAGUUAAAUGUAGCGAUACAGGUUAUAGAUGGGCAUGCGUGACAUUAGCUAGUUGGUGAGGUAACGGCUCACCAAGGCUACGAUGUCUAGGGGUUCUGAGAGGAAGGUCCUCCACACUGGUACUGAGACACGGACCAGACUCCUACGGGAGGCAGCAGUGAGGAAUAUUGGUCAAUGGGCGCAAGCCUGAACCAGCCAUGUCGCGUGCAGGAAGACUGCCCUAUGGGUUGUAAACUGCUUUUAUAGUAGAAGAAACACAUCUACGCGUAGAUGUCUGCCAGUAUACUAUGAAUAAGCAUCGGCUAACUCCGUGCCAGCCGCAGC